RNAcentral lists this ribosomal RNA (404 nucleotides) under uncultured bacterium. RNAcentral's name for it is "partial 16S ribosomal RNA". It matches the Rfam family "Bacterial small subunit ribosomal RNA", at positions 28 to 526 of the family's 1533-position model. The record is from RNAcentral.
GAUGAACGCUGACAGAAUGCUUAACACAUGCAAGUCAACUGUGGCGGACGGGUGAGUAACGCGUAAAGAACUUGCCUCACAGAUAGGGACAACAUUUGGAAACGAAUGCUAAUACCUGAUACUGUGAGAGAGCUUUGCGUCCCAUUAGCUAGUGGGAGAGGUAACGGCUCACCAAGGCGAUGAUGGGUAGCCGGCCUGAGAGGGAGAUAGGCCACAAGGGGACUGGGACACCACCCUUACUGCUACGGGAGGAAGCAGUGGGGAAUAUUGGACAAUGGACCAAAGUCUGAUCCAGCAAUUCUGUGUGCAAGAUGAAGUUUUCGGAAUGUAAAGUGCUUUCAGUUGGGAAGCAGUACCAACAGAAGAAGUGACGGCUAAAUACGUGCCAGCAGCCGCGGUAAUUC